UACGUAGGGUGCAAGCGUUGUCCGGAAUUAUUGGGCGUAAAGAGCUCGUAGGCGGUUCGUCGCGUCGGCCGUGAAAACCUGAGGCUCAACCUCAGGCCUGCAGUCGAUACGGGCGGACUUGAGUACUGCAGGGGAGACUGGAAUUCCUGGUGUAGCGGUGAAAUGCGCAGAUAUCAGGAGGAACACCGGUGGCGAAGGCGGGUCUCUGGGCAGUAACUGACGCUGAGGAGCGAAAGCGUGGGGAGCGAACAGG
RNAcentral lists this ribosomal RNA (253 nucleotides) under uncultured bacterium. RNAcentral describes it as "partial 16S ribosomal RNA". It matches the Rfam family "Bacterial small subunit ribosomal RNA", at positions 524 to 776 of the family's 1533-position model. The record is from RNAcentral.